Molecule: ribosomal RNA, 369 nt
Filed under: uncultured bacterium
Lineage: Bacteria
Description: bacterial SSU rRNA
Rfam family: Bacterial small subunit ribosomal RNA
Source: RNAcentral
ACGGAGGGUGCAAGCGUUAUCCGGAUUCACUGGGUUUAAAGGGUGCGUAGGUGGGUUGGUAAGUCAGUGGUGAAAUCCCCGAGCUUAACUCGGGAACUGCCAUUGAUACUAUCAGUCUUGAAUACCGUGGAGGUCAGCAGAAUAUGUCAUGUAGCGGUGAAAUGCUUAGAUAUGACAUAGAAUACCAAUUGCGAAGGCAGCUGGCUACCCGAAUAUUGACACUGAGGCACGAAAGCGUGGGGAUCAAACAGGAUUAGAUACCCUGGUAGUCCACGCCCUAAACUAUGGAUACUCGACAUACGCGAUACACUGUGUGUGUCUGAGCGAAAGCAUUAAGUAUCCCACCUGGGAAGUACGACCACAAGGUUG